GACAGAGGGUGCAAACGUUGUUCGGAAUUACUGGGCGUAAAGCGCGUGUAGGCGGCCCUGCAAGUCGGAUGUGAAAUCCCACGGCUCAACCGUGGAAGUGCAUUCGAAACUGCAGGGCUAGAGUCCUGGAGAGGAAGGUGGAAUGCUUGGUGUAGAGGUGAAAUUCGUAGAUAUCAAGCGGAACACCGGUGGCGAAGGCGGCUACCUGGACCGGUUCUGACGCUGAUGCGCGAAAGCGUGGGGAGCAAACAGG
Molecule: ribosomal RNA, 253 nt
Filed under: uncultured bacterium
Lineage: Bacteria
Description: partial 16S ribosomal RNA
Rfam family: Bacterial small subunit ribosomal RNA
Source: RNAcentral